RNAcentral lists this transfer RNA (73 nucleotides) under Felis catus (domestic cat). It matches the Rfam family "tRNA". Rfam says of the family: Transfer RNA (tRNA) molecules are approximately 80 nucleotides in length. Their secondary structure includes four short double-helical elements and three loops (D, anti-codon, and T loops). RNAcentral also lists the same sequence under 3 other names. The record is from Rfam by way of RNAcentral. Lineage: Eukaryota; Metazoa; Chordata; Mammalia; Carnivora; Felidae.
ACCUGGCUGGCUCAGUCGGUAGAGCAUGCGACUCUUGAUCUCAAGAUCAUGAGUUCAAGACCCACGUUGGGCA